CAUUAGUCCCAAUCCAUUUCUACUAUUAAAAAGUGGCAUAGCUAACAGAAUAACUAGACAGUUACAUAUGACGUAUAUCUCAUGUCGAUGUACAAGAACCAGUUUUUAACAGUAGAAAUAGAUAGAACUUUUAACA
This is a microRNA precursor of Gossypium arboreum, 136 nucleotides long. It matches the Rfam family "MIR7502 microRNA precursor family". The record is from Rfam. Lineage: Eukaryota; Viridiplantae; Streptophyta; Magnoliopsida; Malvales; Malvaceae.